This 279-nucleotide unclassified non-coding RNA is filed under the name Ambisporaceae sp. Its description in RNAcentral is "partial contains 5.8S ribosomal RNA and internal transcribed spacer 2". The stretch from base 1 to 71 matches the Rfam family "5.8S ribosomal RNA", at positions 84 to 154 of the family's 154-position model. The record is from RNAcentral. Lineage: Eukaryota; Fungi; Glomeromycota; Glomeromycetes; Archaeosporales; Ambisporaceae.
GUGAAUCAUCGAAUCUUUGAACGCAUAUUGCGCUCUCUGGUAUUCCGGGGGGUAUGCCUGUUUGAGGGUAAUUUAAAACAAUACUUAAACAAUUGUUUUGGGCAAAGGAAAUUAGUUCGCCGCGGUUAUAGCGUUAGCUUGGAAUAAGUGGUCAAGUCUCAUUUUAUUCGAGACGCGUAAUAAUAUUAUUUCGCGAACUCUUCAUUAUAUGACUAUCAAGUUUUGAUGCAUACAAAUGUAGUUUGUAGGCGAUCAAUACAAAUAUUUUGAACAUUACCU